GACGAACGCUGGCGGCGUGCUCAACACAUGCAAGUCGAACGGAAAGGCCUGCUUUCCCUUGUGGAUUGCGGGUACUCGAGUGGCGAACGGGUGAGUAACACGUGAGUGAUCUGCCCCCAACUUGGGUAUAAGCCUGGGAAACUGGGUCUAAUUCCCGAUAGGACUGCAGGGUGGUGCCUGUGGUGGAAAACGAUUUUCUAGUGGUUGGGGAUGAGCUCGCGGCCUAUCAGCUUGUUGGUGGGGUAAUGGCCUACCAAGGCGGCGACGGGUAGUCGGCCUGAGAGGGUGGACGGCCACAUUGGGACUGAGAUACGGCCCAGACUCCUACGGGAGGCAGCAGUGGGGAAUAUUGCACAAUGGGCGGAAGCCUGAUGCAGCGACGCCGCGUGGGGGAUGACGGCCUUCGGGUUGUAAACUCCUUUCGACCGCGAGGAAGCCACCUGGUUGGAAGGGUGGUGACGGUAGUGGUAGAAGAAGCACCGGCUAACUACGUG
RNAcentral lists this ribosomal RNA (494 nucleotides) under uncultured bacterium. RNAcentral describes it as "partial 16S ribosomal RNA". It matches the Rfam family "Bacterial small subunit ribosomal RNA", at positions 28 to 507 of the family's 1533-position model. The record is from RNAcentral.